Molecule: ribosomal RNA, 253 nt
Filed under: uncultured bacterium
Lineage: Bacteria
Description: partial 16S ribosomal RNA
Rfam family: Bacterial small subunit ribosomal RNA
Source: RNAcentral
GACAGAGGGUGCAAACGUUGUUCGGAAUUACUGGGCGUAAAGCGCGUGUAGGCGGCUAAGUAAGUCGGGCGUGAAAUCCCACGGCUCAACCGUGGAAGUGCACUCGAAACUGCAUAGCUAGAGUCCUGGAGAGGAAGGUGGAAUGCUUGGUGUAGAGGUGAAAUUCGUAGAUAUCAAGCGGAACACCGGUGGCGAAGGCGGCCAGCUGGCGCUGACCUGACGCUGAGGCGCGAAGGCAUGGGGAGCGAACGGG